GCGGACGGGGGACGGCCCGAGUGAGGCGUCCUCCGAAGGCUGCGGGCCCGAAGCCAGAACUCCUUCCUCUCCGAAGACCUCGGGGGUGGGGCUCGCGCUUCCGCAGCGGGCCUAGAGCGAGAGGCAGGCGGCAGGUCAAGAGACUGCUCUCCUCCCCAAGCUAGGGGAACCUUCUGGGACUCCAUCAACUGACAAUGAGGGGAUAAUGGUCCCUCACUGCCCCAUCAGGAAAGGCUCAUGGGUGAUUGGGACCUUUGCUUGAAACCCAACUUACUGGCCAGGAACCUCAAGUUCUGGGACCAGGCGCCUUCCUCCCUCCCACUGUGCCAGAGGAGGGGAGACAAAAUCCCUCAAUGGCUGUCUAGCUCCAGGCAGAUCAGCUGCCACGGGGACUGCUGAGCAGGGAGAGGCUGUCGAUGCUGAGGCACGAGAGAAUUUGCUCCUGCUCCUCCAGAGAAAAUGGCUGGGACAGGCUGUUGAGGAAUAAUUCUGCAGGGAAAAGUGGAAGAUGGCUGUGAAAGACUGGGAGGAGGCUGGCUGUGUUUUCAGGGGUUCUUCCUGCACAGUCGGUAGAAGCUGAGCUGCUGGGGAAGGGGCUGGAAGAAAGCCCACACCGCAGCUGCUGCAGUUCCUGCUCCGGGACGGUUGCUUUCCGCUCUGGUAUCAGUAGCAAAUUCAAAAACUACAGAAUCAGCUCCAGAGGACUUUGUUAACAAGAAAGAGAAGAUUGAAAACAGCCCUGGGGCUACACCAACUCAAGAGCUCCCAGGCAAAGUGGCAUCCUGGACCCACCAUCUCUCCUACCCCAUCCUCAGUCGGUACUUCCCCAGGCACCGUUUGUUCUGGCAUGGGGCUAGUUCAGCCCUGGGACCACCCUCAUCCUUAUAACUACCAGCUGUCUUUGGUGAGGUGCAAGAUCUCUCUGGUUUUCUUUAUUUCAUUUUCAUUCCUAUAAUCACAGCCUUUUUUGUGCCCAUCCCUCAGGUGACAUUCUAUUAUGUUUGAUGUGUCAUUUUUGAUUUGGUUGUGUCCUUGCAAAAUGUGCGUUGUUUUAUUUAUCAAUUUAUUUUUAUUUUUAUUUUUUUAAAGAGAUGAGGUCUCAUCAUGUUGCCCAGGCUGGACUCCAACUCCUGGGCUCAAGCGAUCCUUCCACCUCAAUCUUCUGAGUGGCUGGGACUACAGAUGUGCGCCACCAUACCUGGCUAUUGAUCAAUUUUUAGUUUACCAAACAGGCAUUAUGUUCUGGGUCCCAUUCUGUGUCGGGUUCUCUUUUCACUCGGC
RNAcentral lists this long non-coding RNA (1281 nucleotides) under Homo sapiens (human). RNAcentral describes it as "HSALNT0390130". The record is from RNAcentral. Lineage: Eukaryota; Metazoa; Chordata; Mammalia; Primates; Hominidae.